RNAcentral lists this small RNA (569 nucleotides) under Pongo abelii (Sumatran orangutan). RNAcentral describes it as "processed transcript". Lineage: Eukaryota; Metazoa; Chordata; Mammalia; Primates; Hominidae. The record is from RNAcentral.
AAACACCAUGAAAACCUGUGGGUAAUUCACUGCAGCCUCUUCUUCAAUGCUGAAAAAAACAUUUUAUAGAGACAACUAUACAUCCUUUGUCCCCCAGAUGGCCAGAAGGUGAAGAUAGAGUGAUUUGAUGAAGACUGCUGCGGGAGAGUUCGCAGAUGAUCCCUGCUCUUCUGUGAAGCGAGGCAACAUGGUUCGGGCAGCUCGAGCUUUGCUCUCUGCUGUUACCCGGUUGCUGAUUUUGGCUGACAUGGCAGAUGUCUACAAAUUACUUGUUCAACUGAAAGUUGUGGAAGAUGGUAUCUUGAAGUUGAGGAAUGCUGGCAAUGAACAAGACUUAGGAAUCCAGUAUAAAGCCCUAAAACCUGAAGUGGAUAAGCUGAACAUUAUGGCAGCCAAAAGACAACAGGAAUUGAAAGAUGUUGGCCAUCGUGAUCAGAUGGCUGCAGCUAGAGGAAUCCUGCAGAAGAACGUUCCGAUCCUGUAUACUGCAUCCCAGGCAUGCCUACAGCACCCUGAUGUCGCAGCCUAUAAGGCCAACAGGGACCUGAUAUACAAGCAGCUGCAGCAGG